GGACGCUUUUAUUAGAUCAAAACCAAUCGACGUCCGUUCGCUUCGCGGCGGGCGGCGCCGUACUCCUUGGUGACUCUGAAUAACUUUUGGCAGAUCGCACGGUCUCAGAACCGGCGACGCAUCCUUCAAAUGUCUGCCUUAUCAACUGUCGAUGGUAGGUUCUGCGCCUACCAUGGUUGUAACGGGUAACGGGGAAUCAGGGUUCGAUUCCGGAGAGGGAGCCUGAGAAACGGCUACCACAUCCAAGGAAGGCAGCAGGCGCGCAAAUUACCCACUCCCGGCACGGGGAGGUAGUGACGAAAAAUAACGAUACGGGACUCAUCCGAGGCCCCGUAAUCGGAAUGAGUAUACUCUAAAUCCUUAUACGAGUAUCAAUUGGAGGGCAAGUCUGGUGCCAGCAGCCGCGGUAAUUCCAGCUCCAAUAGCGUAUAUUAAAGUUGUUGCGGUUAAAAAGCUCGUAGUUGGAUCUGUGUCCCGCACCGUCGGUUCACCGCCUGUCGGUGUUCAACUGGCGCGUACGCGGAACGUCCUGCCGGUGGCGGUCCGGUGCCCCGUCGGUACGUAGGGGUCGUCCUUGCUCUGCUUGCGUCGUCCCCGAAGGCCUUCGCGGUGUCAUCGGCCGCCUUUCGAUCCCGUCGCGGUGCUCUUCACCGAGUGUCGAGGCGGGCCGGCACGUUUACUUUGAA
This 686-nucleotide ribosomal RNA is filed under the name Euxaldar sp. MW-2016. RNAcentral's name for it is "bacterial SSU rRNA". It matches the Rfam family "Eukaryotic small subunit ribosomal RNA", at positions 199 to 761 of the family's 1831-position model. Lineage: Eukaryota; Metazoa; Arthropoda; Insecta; Hemiptera; Issidae. The record is from RNAcentral.